GACGAACGCUGACGGCUUGCCUAUUACUUGCAAGUAGAACGCAGUUCCGAACGGGUGAGUAACGCUUAGGUACCUCCCUGGUAGGGGGGGAUAAUUUUUGGAAACAUUAGCUAAUACCCCAUAAUACCGACUGGACUGGCGUUGUAUUAGCUAGUUGAUGAGGUAACGUCUCACAAAGGCAACGAUACAUAGCCGAACGGAGAUGGUGAUCGGCCACACCGGGACUGAGACACGGCCCAGACUCCUACGGGAGGCAGCAGUAGGGAAUCUUCGGCAAUGGGGGGAACCCUGACCGAGCAACGCCGCGUGAGUGAAGAAGGUUUUCGGAUCGUAAAGCUCUGUUGUUAAGGAAGCGGUACUUAACCAGAAAGGGACGGCUAACUACGUGCCAGCCGCCGCGGUAAUAC
Molecule: ribosomal RNA, 407 nt
Filed under: uncultured bacterium
Lineage: Bacteria
Description: partial 16S ribosomal RNA
Rfam family: Bacterial small subunit ribosomal RNA
Source: RNAcentral